This 274-nucleotide ribosomal RNA is filed under the name uncultured bacterium. Its description in RNAcentral is "partial 16S ribosomal RNA". It matches the Rfam family "Archaeal small subunit ribosomal RNA", at positions 473 to 747 of the family's 1478-position model. The record is from RNAcentral.
AAACCAGCACCUCAAGUGGUCAGGAGGAUUAUUGGGCCUAAAGCAUCCGUAGCCUGUUCUAUAAGUUUCCGGUUAAAUCCAUUAGCUCAACUAAUGGGCUGCCGGAAAUACUGUAGAACUAGGGAGUGGGAGAGGUAGACGGUAUUCGGUAGGAAGGGGUAAAAUCCUUUGAUCUAUUGAGGACCACCUGUGGCGAAGGCGGUCUACCAGAACACGUUCGACGGUGAGGGAUGAAAGCUGGGGGAGCAAACCGGAUUAGAUACCCGAGUAGUCC